Molecule: ribosomal RNA, 460 nt
Filed under: uncultured bacterium
Lineage: Bacteria
Description: partial 16S ribosomal RNA
Rfam family: Bacterial small subunit ribosomal RNA
Source: RNAcentral
CCUACGGGAGGCAGCAGUGAGGAAUAUUGGUCAAUGGGCGCGAGCCUGAACCAGCCAAGUAGCGUGAAGGAUGACUGCCCUACGGGUUGUAAACUUCUUUUAUAAAGGAAUAAAGUGAGGCACGCGUCCCUUUUUGUAUGUACCUGAUUAAUAAGCAUCGGCUAACUCCGUGCCAGCAGCCGCGGUAAUACGGAGGAUGCGAGCGUUAUCCGGAUUUAUUGGGUUUAAAGGGAGCGUAGAGGGGUUGUUAAGUCAGGUGUGAAAGUCCGCGGCUCAACCGUGAAAUUGCAAUUGAUACUGGCAGUCUUGAGUACAGUUGAGGUAGGCGGAAUUCGUGGUGUAGCGGUGAAAUGCUUAGAUAUCACGAAGAACUCCGAUUGCGAAGGCAGCUUACUAGACUGCCACUGACGUUGAGGCACGAAAGCGUGGGUAUCAAACAGGAGUAGAUACCCUAGUAGUC